UUGAAUGGGGUNCAGAGCUGCCUGGAACAUC
RNAcentral lists this non-coding RNA (31 nucleotides) under Mus musculus (house mouse). The record is from RNAcentral. Lineage: Eukaryota; Metazoa; Chordata; Mammalia; Rodentia; Muridae.